This 1157-nucleotide long non-coding RNA is filed under the name Citrus maxima (pomelo). Its description in RNAcentral is "long non-coding RNA (CMAX_LNC003079)". Lineage: Eukaryota; Viridiplantae; Streptophyta; Magnoliopsida; Sapindales; Rutaceae. The record is from RNAcentral.
AAAAUAACAGAAAUAACUGUAACCAACAAGAAUUCACUUCAGAUUUAAUGGCUACCUCAUCAUAUUCCAACAUAAGAUAUGAAUAUAUUACAUGAGGGAAGAAAUAAAUUAACUAGUGUGUCUCUGUUUACCAACCAUAGCCACAGGCUCUAGGAAUUUGUUCAUGGGCGACUUUUAGAGUCAAAACAAUGGACAAGGAACAAGGGAUCUACUAAAAGAUCUGGUCGUAAUUAAUUUGGUCGGUUAUAUCUGUCCCCUGCGUUCUUCAUAUUCAUUGAUUUUGCUGCUGCCCCUCUUUAAUUAUUAUUAUAUAUAUAUGUUCAAUUCACCCUCAGAUACCCCUUCUUUACACUCCAUUGAAACUGAUACGCCAGAACAUAAAUUUAAAGAAGCUUUUGUAAUCUCCUUCCUUGCAAGCUGCAAGAGAUUAAAAAAAAAAAAAAAAAAAAAAAAAGGUGAUAUACAAUAUGUACAAAUAUACAAUAUGUACAAAUAUAUAGCAGUCUUCUUCAAAAUAAAGUAUGAAUUGGACAUUUUUACAAUUUUUAAAAGUAUUGUAAAAAAAAUUGUCUACAUUGUAAAAUACAGAAUUCAUAUUUAAUAAAAUACGGACGUCCGCUUGUUAUUUAAACUAUUCAGUGGACAUUGUUAAUUUUGGAACAUAAGAUAGUUGAGACAGGACAUGAGGGCUUUACCAGAUGUUUUGUAGGGCAGCUCAAUGUCACAUAUUAAUUGAAAGAACACAAGUUGCUGGUGAACCCAGAUGGGUUAAGAAACCUUUGUUUUUGGUCUUCAACAUCCCAAAGGAGACUAUUCCCAUUAUCCUGAAAAUGACAACACAUUUGUCACAUACUUAGAAGCAUAGAACCAUGUAUUUUUUUUUUGUUGAACAUUUUGUAAUUUGAUAAUGGAUUAAUGGUCUAAAAUGGUUUGCAUAUUCAUGCAAAUAAGUAACUAGCUAGUUAAAUUGAUAAUAUACCUGAUAGAUUAAGGCAUUUGGCCUCUGCCCUUGUUGAAGUAAAAGUGCAGUAUCAAGAACAGGAUAGUUAUUGCGAUGAUCAGCUGGGGCAAAGGCAGUGGUUGUGUCAGCAAAAGCUGUGAGCUGGGCUGUGGGGCUGCAUUGCACUUGAGGUGCUGAAGCUGAAGCAGCAAUAAUG